CGAACCGCCCGGCUUGGGAGAGCCAAACGGUUCGCACGAGCCCCGGCGGUCUUGGGAGAGGCAGCCGCGGUUCUUCAGGGGAGAACUGCCGAUGGAGAAUACUCUUCUCGUCGCGCUAUCGCGCCAGAUGUCGCUUG
Regulatory RNA element from Afipia sp. Root123D2, 137 nucleotides. It matches the Rfam family "flg-Rhizobiales RNA". The record is from Rfam. Lineage: Bacteria; Pseudomonadati; Pseudomonadota; Alphaproteobacteria; Hyphomicrobiales; Nitrobacteraceae.